GAUGAACGCUGGCGGCGUGCCUAAUACAUGCAAGUCGAGCGAACAGAUGAGGAGCUUGCUCCUCUGACGUUAGCGGCGGACGGGUGAGUAACACGUGGAUAACCUACCUAUAAGACUGGGAUAACUACGGGAAACCGGAGCUAAUACCGGAUAAUAUAUUGAACCGCAUGGUUCAAUAGUGAAAGACGGUUUUGCUGUCACUUAUAGAUGGAUCCGCGCCGCAUUAGCUAGUUGGUAAGGUAACGGCUUACCAAGGCAACGAUGCGUAGCCGACCUGAGAGGGUGAUCGGCCACCCGGGAACUGAGACACGGUCCAGACUCCUACGGGAGGCAGCAGUAGGGAAUCUUCCGCAAUGGGCGAAAGGCUGACGGAGCAACGUCGCGUGAGUGAUGAAGGUCUUCGGAUCGUAAAACUCUGUUAUUAGGGAAGAACAAAUGUGUAAGUAACUAUGCACGUCUUGACGGUACCUAAUCAGAAAGCCACGGCUAACUACGUG
Molecule: ribosomal RNA, 497 nt
Filed under: uncultured bacterium
Lineage: Bacteria
Description: partial 16S ribosomal RNA
Rfam family: Bacterial small subunit ribosomal RNA
Source: RNAcentral